CCACUGGUGGCGCAACAGUUAAGCGUUCGGCUACUAACUGAAAGGCUGGUGGUUUAAACCAGCCCAGUGGC
Molecule: transfer RNA, 71 nt
Filed under: Loxodonta africana (African savanna elephant)
Lineage: Eukaryota; Metazoa; Chordata; Mammalia; Proboscidea; Elephantidae
Rfam family: tRNA
About the family: Transfer RNA (tRNA) molecules are approximately 80 nucleotides in length. Their secondary structure includes four short double-helical elements and three loops (D, anti-codon, and T loops).
Source: Rfam by way of RNAcentral